UGGGAUUAGUGGGCGAACGGGGUGAGUAAAAANGUGAGUAACUGCCCUUGAAUNUGGGAUAAGCAAUUGGAAACGGUGUUUUAAUACCGGGAUACGGAACUUCAGCCGGGUGGNUAGGGGUUGGAAANGAAUUUUGGUCAAGGAUGGACCCGCGGCUAUCAGUAGUUGGUGAGGUAACGGCCCACCAAGGCGACGACGGGUAGCCGGCUGAGAGGGUGACCGGCCACACUGGGANUGANAANNNGNCCCAGANUCNUACGGGAGGCAGCAGUGGGGAAUAUUGCACAAUGGGCGAAAGCCUGAUGCAGCAACGCCGCGUGAGGGACGACGGCCUUCGGGUUGUAAACCUCUUUUAGUAGGGAAGAAGCGAAAGUGACGGUACCUGCAGAAAAAGCACCGGCUAACUACGUGCCAGCAGCCGCGGUAAUACGUAGGGUGCAAGCGUUGUCCGGAAUUAUUGGGCGUAAAGAGCUCGUAGGCGGUUUGUCGCGUCUGCUGUGAAAACCCGAGGCUCAACCUCGGGCCUGCAGUGGGUACGGGCAGACUAGAGUGCGGUAGGGGAGAUUGGAAUUCCUGGUGUAGCGGUGGAA
Molecule: ribosomal RNA, 590 nt
Filed under: uncultured soil bacterium C012
Lineage: Bacteria
Description: partial 16S ribosomal RNA
Rfam family: Bacterial small subunit ribosomal RNA
Source: RNAcentral